This 1191-nucleotide unclassified non-coding RNA is filed under the name Portunus trituberculatus (swimming crab). Its description in RNAcentral is "uncharacterized LOC123498743, transcript variant X3". Lineage: Eukaryota; Metazoa; Arthropoda; Malacostraca; Decapoda; Portunidae. The record is from RNAcentral.
CUACCAACUCAGUCCGUAACUGUGAUGACUGGGGGACUCUCGGUGUCCCUUUGCUCCGUGACUUUGGUGCUGCUCUCGUUUCUAGUGAGAAUUCGUGUGACAAUUAUGUCAUAGAUGAUUCAUGAUAAGAAAACCAUUAUCAUUUCUGACAUGGAGUAAAUCGAAAAUCAACUACUUCCAUAUAUAAAAGUUGAAGCUCCAAGGGAAACAUCUCGCAAGCUUUGAGAUUUUGGUGACGGGAUAUAUAACGUUCAUAAUACCCAGACGUGUUCACCAAGGAAAGGUAUCUAUGAUUGACGACACGAUCAGCCGCCCUGGCGGCAUUGGUACUGUUUCUUCCCAGUCUGCCACCGAUCAGCUUGUCGAACAUGAAGCAGAUCCGGCCGUGCAGGAUAUUUUGCCCGUCACUGAUACCUCCUCCCAGUACCAGACCGCUGCUGAUCCCAUGGAGCUGAAUGUCGAGCCUCUCCAAAAUGUCCUUAGCACUGAGGAUCUAUCUUGGCUGGAAGCUAUUGAACACAACUCACUGAAGGAAGAAAUAGACAUGGUCUUGCCAGAACACAGUGACCAACAAGAAAAUAUGUGUUCACGCGAAUUGGACGAAAAAAUAUUGUCCAAAUUCACGGAGCUGUCGCCUGGUGAUCUUGAAAUCUUUGAGCUGCCACCUUCCCAGCGAGAGGAACUCAAGACGCCCAUUCAGAAAAUUAUUUGAUUCCGGCACAUUUAUGUUUUCAGAAUACUGUCCUGGCGAGAUAAUGGGAGAAGCCAAAGUUAAGCAUUUACAACGUAUUUUAUGUCUGAAAAUCGUAAAGAAAAACGAAGAUCGCAAAUCAGGCUCUGAUGACAGCUCGAAGUGAAUUGAUAAUAGCUUGAGCCUCGAAGCGGAGAGAAAAAGGGAGGGGGAUACCUCUACGCAAGGUCAGCAGUGUGGAUACGAAGGGGAACAACCGUACUGUCGUAUCAGAGCCAUUCGUAUAGCUGACUCAGAGCAGCCUGACUGAAAAGCCCCUGAUAUCAUCGUUGUCAUCGUCUGCGUCAGUGUCGUUGUUAUCAUUAUCGUGGUCGUUAUUCUCGUCAUCUUAGAGUAUCUUCAUUAGUUACUGUUGUUUUUGCUAUUAUUAUUAUUAUUAUUAUUAUUAUUAUUAUUAUUGUUAUUAUUAUUAAUAUCAUUAUUAUUAUUACUAUUAUUAU